GAAGAACGCGUUCACAAAUCUCUAAAUUAUCUUCUCUUUACUUGCUUAAAUUUAUGAAUAACUCUCACCACGAUUGAACAAGCAUGUAAAAUACAUUAUUUUGCUUUUCUUCUUUUAAGUAUAAAUUUAUCUAUGCUAAACGUCAAUGGCUUUAUUGAAAUAAACAUUCCAGUGUUAUUCGAUUGUUAUAAUUUAAUUUUUAACAAUCGAAUAACACUGGAAUGUUCAGAUAUUUAACAUCCGAUCACCUAUUUAAUUUUUUAGAAACUUUAGCCAUCUUUAUACAAUUACUCUUAUAAAUUAAAUAACUCACAAGGUACCUAAACUAACCCAAUAAACAGCAAAAAUCCAGAAGAGUCUCUCUUCUGGAUUUUUGCUUAUUU
Molecule: unclassified non-coding RNA, 383 nt
Filed under: Enterococcus faecalis V583
Lineage: Bacteria; Bacillati; Bacillota; Bacilli; Lactobacillales; Enterococcaceae
Description: Ref36C
Source: RNAcentral